Molecule: unclassified non-coding RNA, 329 nt
Filed under: soil metagenome
Description: partial contains 5.8S ribosomal RNA, internal transcribed spacer 2, and large subunit ribosomal RNA
Rfam family: 5.8S ribosomal RNA (bases 1-120)
Source: RNAcentral
GAUGAAGAACGUAGCGAAAUGCGAUAAGUAAUGCGAAUUGCAGAAUUCAGUGAAUCAUCGAAUCUUUGAACGCACGUUGCGCCCCCUGGUAUUCCGGGGGGCAUGCCUGUCCGAGCGUCAUUACAACCCUCAAGCUCAGCUUGGUGUUGGGCCCCGCCGCCCCGGCGGGCCCUAAAGUCAGUGGCGGUGCCGUCCGGCUCCGAGCGUAGUAAUUCUUCUCGCUCUGGAGGUCCGGUCGUGUGCUCGCCAGCAACCCCCAAUUUUUUUCAGGUUGACCUCGGAUCAGGUAGGGAUACCCGCUGAACUUAAGCAUAUCAAUAAGCGGAGGA